GUUACGGCUGCUGCUGUUGUUGUUGUUUCUCCUGCUGGUGGUGGUGCUGCUGCUGCUGCUAUGGCCGCCGCUGGUGUUCUGGUCUAUAGCCAGUGCGGCUGCCGCUCUGGUCUUGCGCGCCGCCGGUGGCAGCUGGUGGCUGCUACUGGAGCUCAACGUUGCUCACCGAUCGCUUCCUAGCAGCCAUAGAGAGGAGGAGUGACGGUGCCGCUGGUCGGGAGCAUCAGUCAGUUGCUGGCGUCUUUUUUUUCUACAAUAAGGGGCGCCGCCAACGCCGUCACCGCCGCUGCUGCUGCUGCUGCAAUGGACGCGGCUGCAUCUGCUGGCGCUGUUGUUGCUGGAAGUCGUAUCGCCGUGUGGCGGCAGCAAGGCAACAACCGCUGGAGUUGUAGCAGACUACACGUCCAUGCUGCGCUACCGGUCGAAUUGUUUUUUGCGUUCUUAUCGUUGGAAAUGGCUCCGGUGCUUUUUCCUACGCCAGCGAAUAUGGCGUAACUAAAUGAGGGCGGUAAAGCAAACGCUGCUCCGACGGAACCGUUCAAAGAGUCGUUCAGCUCAGCAAGUAACAACAACAGCAGCAGCAGCCGCAGCAACGAUCAGUUCAGUUAAACUCAGCGCGGCUUGCCGUUCUCUGUCGUUUUCACCAGUAGGAGCCGACCUUGUAGUAAUAAUACUAUCGAGUUCAAUGCGCUGACGAUGACAACAACAACAACAACAACAACAACAAUAAGCGAGCACCAGCAAUGUUUGGUGCGGGCGUGGCUAACGUAGCCGAUGCGUUAGACGCCGCGAUUUUACGUGGCUCGUCGUUGUUUAUAGGGUGUAUUCUGUUAUUCAAUAGCGUCUAUGGAGUAACGAGAGGUUUGUGUUUAUGUUAGUACCUAUACGGUAGGUGCCUACUGCUGCUGCUGCCGCCGCCGUCGACGGUACCGUCAUCCACAGCCAUUUUCUCUUUUGACUGUCCCUGACUAUCGCUGCUGGAUUCUUCCGUUGCCUAUUGCUUUCUUAGCCGUGCUGAGUGUUGCUGCUGCUGCCUUCUCUGCUCCGCUCUGCUCUGGCUUUCCCCAACGACGAUAAUAUUAAUAAUAGCAGCCGCGGCCUUAGCAUUCACAAUCAUCGUAUUCGGCGACCAUGAGCGCCUAUGAGCUGUUGUGAGCAUGUACGAGUCUGGUUCGUCUGUUUCACUCGCGUCUCGGGCCCCCGCCAGCAGCAAAUCAACCAAACAAACAAGUCUAGGUAAGCAACUGAGUCGUUCACAGCAGGCCAAUUCACCAGCAACGUCAUGCGGCAAUAAGGGACAGCAGCAGCUCUAGCAAGAGAGCCCGCUUUCGUCGAACUUCGGGUCACGCCGAUAGUGGGCGAGGCUCACGUUGUCGUCAACAGGGAAGGCGACGAACAGGGAGAAUCUGAGUCGUCACAUCGAUCUAGCAGACGCCGUCAGCCAACCAGACGCGAAAGCCAGCCACAAACAUGAAAUGAAUGGAACAGAAACACCGCAGCAACAAAGCCGCAUGCAGAAGGCCACACUGGACGUCCGAUGUUUGUUCCUGCGGCGGAGAGAGGAUUUUCGAUCGUCCGCCCCGGCCUGUUAUCCAAACAACCAGUCCACAACGAGCCCAGCAUGAACAGCCCAGUUGAAAUAGAGACAACAUGAAAUCGCUGCCGCUGUUGGUGCUGGUUUUGGCGUCGCGGACGGUUUUGUCCGGCAGCGCAACUCAUCAGUCGGGGACAGAGUAGAACAGAAGCGACAAUUUCAACCACGUUGAUUCUGAUAGAAGCAUGAAGGGAUGAAAACCGGCAAAGCUAGCGACAACAGGAUGCCACUGAAACGAAACUGAAAGAAAAACGUGUGUCCACCAAUCGUAGUAGGAUUUUUUGCCUCUAUUCGCUACUUUCGCCAGUAGCGCUAGUCUAGUCGGGCGUGAUACCACACCGGUUUCCGAAUGAAGAAGAGUCUUUUACUUUUUCUACCCAACGCCACAGAACAGGUUGGCGUAGCGGGCCCUGCGAUCACGAGGACCGCAGUUCAAGACACAACUACAAAGACAUGAAUCGACACGCAUACGAACGCGGGUGUAAACGACUGCUGAUAGAGAUACGAAGUGUGUGUUGCCGAGAGACGGGACUGUGUAGCGAGUCGCAUCGUAAAAAGACAGAAAGAAAAGCGGAGCCAACUGCGGCGAUUAUGGGGGCUUCAUCAACGCCACUAAAAGCAGCCGUAACAGCAAUGCGAACAGUAUUAAUUUAAUUGCGACAGUAAUAAUAGCUAUUCGUUGUUACUAUUGUUGCUGCUGUCUAAUAAAAAAUGGGCAAAAAUCAGAUAAAAUCAGGUCAGCAACAGUUCAUCUGUUGUACCAACGAGCACAAGAGGGAACAAACAGUUUGUGGGCAUACAGGCGACGUGCAAAGGACUGCGCGUGGGCCCUUGUCGAUCUGCUGGUGAAGUUGCACUAAUGGCCCAGCGUGUCAGACCAGCCGCCAGCUCCCUGCGAUAAGAAAAACGAAGGAACCGGCAGAGCCUAAAGGUGCAGCACACGCAAUAGCAACGACAGAAAAAGAGUUAUUUGGAGUUAUCGACACGUUGCCAACAGCUCGGGCACCGAUGAUGGCGACAACGGCUACGAUUGUCCUAAUGAUGGUCGUGAUUGUGUUGCUGCUGCUGUUGCCGAUGAUGAUGAUGAAGAUUAUGACGAUUCGAAGUGAAAAGUUCAACUCUCCUGAAAACUGCUCGGUGCCGAUGGCAGUUCUUCUUCUGCCUCCUUUCUCUUUCUUUUUGUCGACUUCCCCUUUUACAGAAUCGCUACAACUAUUGUAGACAGCAGAAAAUCAUAAUGGAGCAUUGGACGGAGUCAACGCCACAGCCUUUACAAAGGCGGCGGCAGCAGCAGCAGCAGAUAAACAAAAUUCGACCACUCAAAAGUAAAAAAGGAGAGACAGAAGAAGAGAAAGCAGUCGGAGUUACCAAUAGACAACAGAGCCAGAGAAUCUAACAACAGAAGAAUCCCUACUACAGGGGAAUACGAAAAAGGGGAUAUAGUUAGGGAAGGACGGAUAAUGUAAACAUUGAGUAUCCCGACAGACGCGACCGUCGGAGUCAAAUCGACGUCGACCUUUAAAGAUAAUCGGACGCGGGAGUGAUGGCGGCGCUGGGCUCGUUUUGCGGCGCGUGAUCCAAACGCAGCUCGACGCUCUCACUGGUUAGAUCGUACUGAGCGGUGACUCUAUGGGUUGACUUUCUUCAUGGGUUUUGUCAGCGAUAACAAAGCCCGGCGUCAGUGAACGUUGCUAAGAUUCGUAUAGGGGGUGCAAUUUCGGUGUCAUGACAUUGACACUGUUGGAGAAGCUUGUGAUAGGCCAAAUCAUUGGCCGUUUCGUAUGUCCACAAGUAGUUGUUAAUAGGAGAUGGACGAAGGACAAAUAGACGGUAUUAGUGAGUGAGUAAAGGAAUAACGUCGUCUAACGCAAAUAAUAACAAUAAGUAAAAAUUGGUGUUAUUUAGUUUACUGUAAGAAGCACACUGAUAAAUUCAAACUAGAAUUGAUGGAUGUGUUUCACUGUACAAAAAGAUUAAUUUUGAAAUAAGCAAAACAUAUGAUGAUGUUUCGCUAUUUCGGAUAGCCUUAGGCGACACAGUGGAAUUUCUGUGCAGAUCUACCUAAAAAUUUGUCGUCAAUCAGCUAGAUAGGUAAUAUAUUUAAUAAAUGCUUUGCUCGACGCCAACAGAUAUAUUGUAUAACAGUUACAUAGUGGUAUUACCCUUCUAGAACGUUCGAAGAUCGCUUUAUCCCGAAUUUCAAUUCAAGUUUUAGCACUACUACACAAGAGACAAUAUGGACAUUUACCAUUUCGCAGGUAGAUAUUCUACCAACUACAACAAUUCAACACGGUCGCCAGCUCUCUACCGCCAUGUCUAUGUCAUUUUUGUUCACAGCAUCGGCCACAGAUAUCGAUAUAUGCGGUCCUUAAGUAAUUAUAGCAUGGACUGAUGGGUGAGAAAAAUUCUACAAUCAAUGAUUACUCAACGUGGAUGUAUGCUUGCACCGAAAUCGCUUGAGCAGCGUUUAACUCGCCGACCGACCGACAGACGAAGCGAGAGCCCUAGUUCAAGUGAUUUUUUCAUGAGUUCUAUGAACGAUGAAACGCCUCUGAGCUCAACAGCCAUGGAGCUUCCAAAGGGUGAGAGAAGAUGCUUCAAUUGCCGCGAAGUGGUGAGACAGCGAGGUUCGUCGAUAGGUCGGCGUCAUUAAUGAGGAAAUCGGGUCAAAACCGCUCAAAGCACAUCGAUUGUCCAGCCUGUACGCAUGCGUCCGCAAGACAACACGAAGCGGGCAGAACACGUGCGAUCAGUGAUCGUGUGCGCAUCUAAUAUCGGCGUCGACUGCUUUUCUCUGGAUAGCUGUGUUCCGCAAUGAGGACAACAUAACGAAAUUGUUCUUAGCCACCGGCAACCCGUGACUGACAGUGGAGCAGACCGAAGCUUCUGCUUCCGAUUUGCGACUCUUUACUUCCACACGACUUAGGAAGCAAAACAAUAGAAAGUACUCGUCAGCCCGUAUACCUGUAUAUCCCGAAAAAUAGGCCAGCAAAAAAAACCCAAAGUAAACCCGUUAUAGGUGAACUUUGGGAGAACAUGCUGACGCUAGCGACGUUAACGAUUGAGAAUGCUGAUGUAAGUUUGAGCUCUUUAGACGACUGGGCAAUGGUGGACGGAACUUAGCAGGCGCACGCCCGUCUUCUAGUUCGCGUCGGCGUAAUCAAAUGCUGGGUGGUCGUUUCUCUACCCGAAAAAACAUAGGAACACGUGUUAAGUGCGUUAUGUAUUAUUCCAACAUCGUAAGUGAGCUAUUUACGAGGGGUGGUAGCUAACGAGGUCUUCGGAGUGUUUGAAGCUCCCUUGCCGCGUCUUGCUUGGUAGCGUGGGUAGCGUGAAGUCGCAUGUUAAUCAAAUGCAUGUAAUAAAACGAUACAUAGGUAAUAGGUCAAUAAUUAAUGCAUGGUUCGUUCGGUGCUUCCAUAGAUCAUAUGUAAAAACAGCUGGAUGGCCAAAACUAGCGACCGUUUUUAGAGCACAGAAAGGGACAGUCCGAAUAAAGCCAUGCCAGAAACUAAGUGUAAGUCUUUACAGAACAAUAUACACAUUUCCAGAAAAUAUUAUUUCCUUAUAGGAAUAAUAUCACAAUACAUUAUUUAUGGAACGCUAGAUCCUACACUAUUCUUUGCAACAAAUCGAUUAUACGAAAGGUCAUAUAUAUAUAUACCACCCACCCUAACUCAAGCUCAAGCACUUAUCCCAUUUGCGCAUGUAAACACGACUACGCAAGCACGCUGCAGGUCUAGGCAUUCUCAGCCUGAAACCGAAUUAGGAACAACGUUGGAGUUGUUCCCUCAUACAGCUAUAUUAUCCCCUUGUUGUCCUAUUAUGUUAUAUUUGUUGUCCUAUUAUGUUUGACUCGAUUUUUCACGCUCCCAUCAGCCUGUUAUUAUGGACGCACUGCCGUAUUAUCGAACUUAUUCCGUUAGUUUAACUAAUUCCAUAUUCAAACGGUUUAAUCUCAAUCGUACUAAGUAAUGAGCCACAUCAAUUAUGUUGUCUCGCUUCGAACCGGUAACUCAUGCACGAACGUUCCUCUACCUAGCCACUCCCAACCUUUGAGAUACCUAUUCAAAAAUGUCUUUCUGUUACUUUUUUGGCAAAAGAUAAUUAUUCCGAGACGCACCGUUUUCAGACAGAAUUGUCUCGCCGAAAGUCCAGUCAAUAAAUCAUCAAGCCCAUUUUCGAUGAGACGAUAGACACAUGGGUAGUUUUUAAACGAUACAAACUUCUGCGAUCACUUAACGAAAGUUUUGAUAGGUAUAACAUUUGUGAUUGUUGCCAUUACGAAUUUAGUCAUGCACAAGAAUUAGCAGACAACGUGAAACGGUACAAAUUUAAGAGUACUAUUUUUACCUUUUCCGGCAUUACCAUUAGUAAACAUUAGUCGAUUGCAUAACCUCUGCGCGGCCCAGCACAGUAGCAAACACUGAUGAGGUGCUUUGCACCGCACUCGAUGCCUUCACAUAAGGCCACUAUAAGGUGAGAUAUUCCAGUUGCAGCAUAACGAUUACGCUAAAAGUGGUCCUAGGUAAACAGUCCGUUCCGACAAUUAAAGAUCACUACGUCUAACAACUUUCUAGUCAACUAUCGACACUAAUAUAUAUAUAUAUAUAUAUAUAUAUAUAUAUAUAUGUGUGU
This is an RNA transcript of Varroa destructor (honeybee mite), 6232 nucleotides long. RefSeq lists it as uncharacterized. The record is from RefSeq and is a predicted model, not a curated record. NCBI's taxonomy places the organism in Eukaryota, Metazoa, Arthropoda, Arachnida, Mesostigmata, Varroidae.